GGCAGAGGGAAGGUCAUCAGUGAGGCUUCAAGUUCAGUGCCUUGCAUCACUCUACCCCAUGUCACCUGGGAAGGUCUGAGACUAGAGCCAAAAGUGGCCCUAACAGGGUCCUCCCUGGGUUUCAGAGAAUGGGGCUCCCACACUCAUGACUAUAUCCUCAAAAAAGAGAAAAAAAAAAUGAGGUGAGAACCUUGAAAUCCUUCAGGAUGCUCUUCUAAUGCU
This 222-nucleotide RNase P RNA is filed under the name Vulpes vulpes (red fox). Its description in RNAcentral is "Nuclear RNase P (ENSVVUG00000015137.1)". It matches the Rfam family "Nuclear RNase P", at positions 1 to 213 of the family's 301-position model. Rfam says of the family: Ribonuclease P (RNase P) is a ubiquitous endoribonuclease, found in archaea, bacteria and eukarya as well as chloroplasts and mitochondria. Its best characterised activity is the generation of mature 5'-ends of tRNAs by cleaving the 5'-leader elements of precursor-tRNAs. Lineage: Eukaryota; Metazoa; Chordata; Mammalia; Carnivora; Canidae. The record is from Rfam by way of RNAcentral.